GGGAAAUGUGGGGAAUUGGGGUUUUGGGUGGGCAGACUGAGAAAUAUUUUUACAUGAUGAUAUCUCUUCAACAAUGAGUGUUUUGGGAGUGAUUCAAUCAGCAUUGUAUCGGCCAUUCAUUGGGCUCAGGAGCUUCUCCUCUCUGACGUGCCGCGUGGUAUCGGCGGCGCCGACACCGCUCACCUCGCCCGGACUGCUGGACGCGUGCGUGCGCCUCUGGCCAGCCGCCGGUCAGCUGCGCACCGCCAUGCGCGUGCAUUUUCCGCGGCCGCGCGAAGUGAAACGGCUGCGCACCCACGGCUGGAAGACGCGCCUGCAGACCCCGGCCGGCCGGCGCAUCAUCAUGCGGCGACUGCUCAAGGGUCGCCACGUGCUAUCCCACUGAGAGGUAACCGCGCCUGUACUGCUGUGUGUGUGAUUACGGCUGAACGCUGCACUGGUCGACAAGCAUAGGGCCGACCGCUGCUGACAGACGCACGUGGUGUGACCCGUGAGGGAUUACCUAGGUGUAACUUGAGUGAAAUUGUUGGUCCAUGUGACAUUCAAAUCAGGACAUAGCUCGUUUUUGUAUGCCGAUUGCCGAUACUGUCGGAACUGAAAUACAAAUUAAAGAGAGAUGCAA
RNAcentral lists this unclassified non-coding RNA (622 nucleotides) under Amphibalanus amphitrite. RNAcentral's name for it is "39S ribosomal protein L34, mitochondrial-like, transcript variant X2". The record is from RNAcentral. Lineage: Eukaryota; Metazoa; Arthropoda; Thecostraca; Balanomorpha; Balanidae.